GGAAACUAAAUACAGUCUGGGCUUAAUGUUGUUAUGUUAUUUGAUAUCACUGAAUGAAUAUUCAAAAUAACUGCGGCACAAUUACGACAGCGGUGCACCACUCCAAAACUGUAGGGGCGCCAAAUUGCACAAACAUCAUUUCUGGCUUCGAGGCUUGCCAGCUGUCGAAUCAUCCCGCCAUCCAGUCAACCAGUCAGUCACCUGCAGAACUACCCAGCAAGCCAGUGCACCACGACCAUAGACUGUAUACGUAAUGGACGUAGCCAUUAUGACUUCACCCACUGGUUUGUGGACUCCUAUUCUGAAGCCUUCAGUUUGCCAUUCUGGUCGUCGCCAUCUUGGUUUUCUGGAGCAAGAAGUGACCAUGAAUGAAAGGCUGUCAUUUUCGGCAGAAUCAUCACACCCUCCUCUAUCUCAUUCACCUCCAGUCACCUCAUCCAGACCCCAGAAUGAGCUCAUCCAAAGUCCACUCCUCUUUGCAUCCAGAUCCUCAGCUUCCUCUUCAUCUCAUCUCAUCAUCACCACCAGCAUCUAGAUUCUGCAACGUCUUUACCACCCUCCUGGAACAGAUGACAUCACGAUGGGGUCUAAAUGCCAAUGAUUCUUCACAUUUCUCAAACCUGUGUGCACAUGUAAAUAAAUAUUCU
Molecule: long non-coding RNA, 647 nt
Organism: Epinephelus lanceolatus (giant grouper)
Lineage: Eukaryota; Metazoa; Chordata; Actinopteri; Perciformes; Serranidae
Source: RefSeq, a predicted model, not a curated record